Molecule: transfer RNA, 76 nt
Filed under: Leptolyngbya sp. Cla-17
Lineage: Bacteria; Bacillati; Cyanobacteriota; Cyanophyceae; Leptolyngbyales; Leptolyngbyaceae
Description: tRNA-Thr
Rfam family: tRNA
About the family: Transfer RNA (tRNA) molecules are approximately 80 nucleotides in length. Their secondary structure includes four short double-helical elements and three loops (D, anti-codon, and T loops).
Source: RNAcentral
GCUGGUGUAGCUCAGUCGACAGAGCAAUCGCCUUGUAAGCGAAAGGUUGCAGGUUCAACUCCUGUCGUCAGCCCCA